CUCCAAAGGCGAUCACGACCCCAGAUAAUGAAAUCAAUGGAACAAACAAUAACUUUCUUCAAUGUUAUCAGUAUGAAGAAGCUUGUGCUUCUGUUCCGGAAGAUCUAUGCCGGCUAAACAUGAGAGAGGACUGCCUUAUAUUGAACGUGUUUACUCCGGCAUC
This is a non-coding RNA of Styela clava, 163 nucleotides long. The record is from RefSeq and is a predicted model, not a curated record. NCBI's taxonomy places the organism in Eukaryota, Metazoa, Chordata, Ascidiacea, Stolidobranchia, Styelidae.